This is an RNA transcript of Plectropomus leopardus (leopard coralgrouper), 566 nucleotides long. RefSeq lists it as uncharacterized. The record is from RefSeq and is a predicted model, not a curated record. NCBI's taxonomy places the organism in Eukaryota, Metazoa, Chordata, Actinopteri, Perciformes, Serranidae.
UGUUUUUUCAGAUGGACAUGCCAGCUUUGUGAAAAUGGUGGUGUGUCAUGUUAAUGGAGAAUUUUGACCUUGGAAGCCAUGGCAAAAAGUUUACCCACUGGACAGAGACAUCAAAAGACCAACAGCGAGAUGAGGUGCCACCAGUGUUCAGACUGAAGAAGCAGAAGCUGGAUGAAAUCACUGAGGAAGGAGUGAAGCUGAAGAUUUUACACGACAGCAAAAAGGCAGCAGAAUGGGUUUAAGCCAACCAGCAGGUGUUCAAAGCUAAAGUGGAGUUUCCAGAUGUGCUGCGUGUGGGGGAAGAGGAACAGGCAGAGGCUGCGCAGCAGUACGGACAGAUUUGGGCUGAAGGAACAAACCAGAGUCUGGAUGAACAUGACGGGAUUCUCUCAUGGAGCCGUUCAAGUUUGUUUUUUUACCACAAUGAAAACGUGGAAGUUCUGUGAGGAAAUUAUAGACACACACAAGGAAAUGGGGCAUAUUUUUAAUGCUGAAGAGGCGAUGACAAAUAAAAAUCAAUGGAACAGGAUUAGACAACUGCGAAUAAAGGGCAACAGAACAUUUGA